This 283-nucleotide small nuclear RNA is filed under the name Ictidomys tridecemlineatus (thirteen-lined ground squirrel). RNAcentral describes it as "Spermophilus tridecemlineatus (thirteen-lined ground squirrel) 7SK RNA". It matches the Rfam family "7SK RNA". From Rfam's summary of the family: 7SK was discovered as an abundant small nuclear RNA in the mid-70s but a possible function has only recently been suggested. The record is from Rfam by way of RNAcentral. Lineage: Eukaryota; Metazoa; Chordata; Mammalia; Rodentia; Sciuridae.
AGAUGUAAGGGUGAUCUGGCUGUGACAUCUGUCACCCAGCUGAUUGCCAGGGAUGAUUUGGCUGAUCUGGCUGGCUAGACGGGUGUCCCCUUCUGCCUCCCACUCAGUGUGCAUCCCUCCUAAAGCUGCAUGUUGUCGAAGAGGAGGACCAUUCUCCUGCAGGGUAUGUGAGUAGCCAUGCUCCCCUGCUAGAACCUACAAACAAGCUCUCAAGGUCCAUUUUUGCUUGUUAUUAUAUCCCUUGCCCCUAAAAAAAGUGCCUGACAACAAGUAAAUACUUGUU